RNAcentral lists this ribosomal RNA (207 nucleotides) under uncultured bacterium. RNAcentral's name for it is "partial 16S ribosomal RNA". It matches the Rfam family "Bacterial small subunit ribosomal RNA", at positions 568 to 774 of the family's 1533-position model. The record is from RNAcentral.
CGCGUAGGUGGUUAGGUAAGCGAGAUGUGAAAGCCCCGGGCUUAACCUGGGAACGGCAUUUCGAACUGUCUGACUAGAGUAUGGUAGAGGGUAGUGGAAUUUCCUGUGUAGCGGUGAAAUGCGUAGACAUAGGAAGGAACACCAGUGGCGAAGGCGGCUACCUGGACCAAUACUGACACUGAGGUGCGAAAGCGUGGGGAGCAAACA